AAAGUCACUAAAGAUCUUCCUGGAUUGCAGGUACAACCAUGAUCUCUACAAGGUGGCAGCUUGGAUGUUCAAACUGAAUUCAGCUGUAUUACAUAUACACCUCCUACUCCUCUACCCAGCCCUAGUGAAGGAAUCUUGACCUUCUUAGGCACCGAGAACCCAGACUGAAGCAAGGAGGGGUAAAAUGAAUGACUGCGAAAACCAUUUCUCUCUAGAGGCACGGAGAGGAGGAGGACCUUUUGACAGGAGGUCCCUAGGCCGCUGCCCUCUGAUGUGUGGACAAUCACGAGACCCAGAGUCAUCCUAGGGAGUUAAAGAACCACCAGCCUCACCACUGAAGACUGAGCACUGACGACUCCAGCCUUCCUGGAGAUGCGUAAGAAGCACAUGGCUUCCAGAAAUAAAAAUAAAGACAUUAAAAAAAAAAAAAAAGACUGACACACAGUCAUCAUGAAAAAGCAGCCCUCAAAACCCGGGCUUCUCUCUCAUUCUGUGCUGCUUUGAGGGUGACUGGCAACCCAUUUGUGUGCUCUAAAAGUUUUCAGAGGCAAAAGUAUCUUUAUUUUUGGAACACCUUUGGAAGAUCCUUAGCAUAUAACGCAUGGCUCCUCCUUCCAUACUUUCCUAAACGAUACCUGCAUGAAAGCAAAACGGACUUCCAGGGUUUGGUGUGACAAGCAGUGAAGAAUACUGGCUCAUUUAUUAGCGGCAGCCACAACCUUUUUUCAGACCAUAAAAAAAAAAAAAAAAUGAUGUCACUGCAUUUCGCCCAGAUCUGCUGUGGUGGCAAGAGUUUGGGAAAAUACCUGUCAGACGGAAAAACAAAAACCGGACAUUGUACU
This 842-nucleotide long non-coding RNA is filed under the name Felis catus (domestic cat). RNAcentral describes it as "lncRNA (ENSFCAG00000049144.1)". Lineage: Eukaryota; Metazoa; Chordata; Mammalia; Carnivora; Felidae. The record is from RNAcentral.